Molecule: long non-coding RNA, 2217 nt
Filed under: Numida meleagris (helmeted guineafowl)
Lineage: Eukaryota; Metazoa; Chordata; Aves; Galliformes; Numididae
Description: lncRNA (ENSNMEG00000014266.1)
Source: RNAcentral
UAGUCAUGGUUUUUUAGAAGCAUGGUAGCCAGAAAAAUUAAGCCUAAGCUGACUGUUGAUUCCUCAUGUGGAAAACAGAACAUCCUCUUUUGCAAUUCAGUUCCCUACUUUUGCGUCUAUUCAUUUCCAUUUACUCAAAUGACCAUCAGUAUUUCCAGCAUGACACAGCCCUGGAACCAGAAAUAGAUCCCUGUGUUAAGCUGUUAUGGUUUUGUGAUUUUUUGUUGUCGGUAUUCCACAUCAUUACAUCAUGUAAGGUAUGGGCAGUUAAAGAGUUAAUUCCCCGGUUACUGCAAACUACCUUUUUUGGUGUGGCCCUCUGAGGGGGAGGGGAGGAGGUGCACUCCCCAGGGGUCUUUGCAUUAGAGGGGGUGGUGAAGCCACGUGGGAGAGGCGGGGGCUGUUCUUCCCAGCCCGGCGGAGAAAGCACGUGGUCCUCCUGCAGUUUACUGUGUAAGAUUUUCAGCCUGUAAACCCUCUAUCAUAAUUCUACUAGCCUCAUUUUGAUAUAUUUAGUAAAAUUAGUUGUUCCUCCUCAGAUCGGUGCCGCUGUUUUUGUGUUAAAUCUGUCUGCGGGUCCCCCUCUUCCCAGGUUGCGGCUCCGCGGCUUCUCUGCUGCUUUAGCCGCCGGACUGCCCGGGGGCUGGCUCUUAUCGCCGGCAAUUUUUUUUUCUUUCCUUCCUCUUCUCUCGUUUUUUUUUCUUUCGGGCCUGUCCCCCUUGUCACGGACGCAGACCCUUAGACAAUACCGUGACAAAUAUUGGUGGAGGAUGCGGGCACUAGAUCUGCUUUCAAUUUUUGGAAUGAUGCAUAAAGGAUUAACGGUAAUCAUGUUCCUCGGAACAUACUGGUUUCUGGUAAUGGCUAUCAUGUUCUGUGUUGGAGUUGUGUGUACAUAUAACUACAUAAUGGCGCUGAUGGAGAUACCGGCCUGGUGCUUGUACCUCCCGGAGGGAGUGGCUAGUUUUACAAACAGCACCGUGGUGAGGCUGGCUUCCAAGUUCUCCCCUCAGUUCCUUAUGCACCCUUGGAAUUUCAAUCUAGCAAUCGUGAUACCAAUAGCUUUGAAUGUUUUCCUCCUAAUAAUAAUUAACAUUAUGUGGAGGAAACUCUCCCCAAAACCGGAAAAUGCUGAGUGGCAGGGAAUAUGGAGAGGCCUAGGGAAGACCUUAGAAACAUGGGGACCCCCGGUGUCAUGGGAUUUCACCCUUGAACACCUGUGGGAUCCUGAGAAGCUCGGUCAGUUUUUGAGUCAGGGAUGGCGCGGCCUAGGCAGAUCUGAGGAGGCACAACUUAUUUGGGGCCUGGCUUGUGCUUAUCAAGCUCUAUACAACACUGUUCUUGAGAGAGAAAGUUUCCCGGCUGAAAUUCGAACCAGAGGGGGAAGCCCCCAAGCUAAACCUGAGCAAGCACAGGAGGCACCAGUAUCCGUGGCAGUUGCUCCUGUGGAAAGACAGAAAGGGAAACGGGUGCCCUCGCGUCUGGAACGGAAGGAAGAAGCGGAGAAGGUAGAGGAAGAAGCGGAGAAGGUAGAGGAAGAAGCGGAGAAGGUAGAGGAAGAUCCAGGCGAGGGGCCCUCCCCGAACGCAUCGUUACCAACAAAGGCAACCGAAGAAAACAAGAGACAUGGAGAGGAUAGGGAGGAGGAAGGCGUCACUGUUACAACUGUCCGCCGACCUCUGAUAAUGACCGAAAUCAUAGGCUCAAGAAAGGAGUGUGACGAACCCGUAGCAGUAUUGGAAACACCUGAUGGAGAUCAGGAUGGUCAGAAGAGCCUACUGAAGGAGCUGAUCAAACUAAUUACAGGCGAUGAACUCUCCUCCUCACCUGUAUCAUCAAAAAUCUCAGCUAUCAGAGGCAGACGCCUUCCUGCUCGAGCAAAUGAUGGUGGCAGAUCUAUGGCACGUGCCGCCUUGUGGAGUUACUUACGCGAGCAUGGAGAAGACAUGAAACAAUGGCAUAAGAAACCCACUCCGGUACUACGAGCACGGGGGAGAGAAUAAUCCAAAUCCUUCUGCAAGCUGGCUUUGCUAUUAAGCAAAACAAAGUGAAAGGGCCUGCACAGGAAAUUCAGUUCCUAGGAGUAAAGUGGCAAGAUGGGCGUCGUCACAUCUCAGCAGAUGUGAUCAACAAAAUCACUGCCAUGUCUCCACCCGCUAACAAGAAAGAGACGCAAUCAUUUUUGGGUGUAGUGGGCUUUUGGAGAAUGCACAUUCC